Molecule: ribosomal RNA, 477 nt
Filed under: uncultured bacterium
Lineage: Bacteria
Description: bacterial SSU rRNA
Rfam family: Bacterial small subunit ribosomal RNA
Source: RNAcentral
GAUCAUGGCUCAGAUUGAACGCUGGCGGCAGGCCUAACACAUGCAAGUCGAGCGGUAGAGAGGUGCUUGCAUCUCUUGAGAGCGGGCGACGGGUGAGUAAUGCCUAGGAAUCUGCCUAGUGGUGGGGGAUAACGUUCGGAAACGGACGCUAAUACCGCAUACGUCCUACGGGAGAAAGCGGGGGAUCUUCGGACCUCGCGCCAUUAGAUGAGCCUAGGUCGGAUUAGCUAGUUGGUGAGGUAAUGGCUCACCAAGGCGACGAUCCGUAACUGGUCUGAGAGGAUGAUCAGCCACACUGGAACUGAGACACGGUCCAGACUCCUACGGGAGGCAGCAGUGAGGAAUUUUCUGCAAUGGGCGAAAGCCUGACAGAGCAAUACCGCGUGAGGGAAGAAGGCUUACUGAGUUGUAAACCUCUGUUACCUAAGGAGGAAGAUCUGACGUUACUUAGGAGACGAAGCAUCGGCUAACUCCGUG